UACGUAGGGUGCGAGCGUUAAUCGGAAUUACUGGGCGUAAAGCGUGCGCAGGCGGUUCGUUGUGUCUGUGGUGAAAGCCCCGGGCUUAACCUGGGAAUUGCCAUGGAAACUGGCGAGCUGGAGUCUGGCAGAGGGGGGUGGAAUUCCGCGUGUAGCAGUGAAAUGCGUAGAGAUGCGGAGGAACACCGAUGGCGAAGGCAGCCCCCUGGGUCAAGACUGACGCUCAGGCACGAAAGCGUGGGGAGCAAACAGG
Molecule: ribosomal RNA, 253 nt
Filed under: uncultured bacterium
Lineage: Bacteria
Description: partial 16S ribosomal RNA
Rfam family: Bacterial small subunit ribosomal RNA
Source: RNAcentral